RNAcentral lists this ribosomal RNA (477 nucleotides) under Triticum aestivum (bread wheat). RNAcentral's name for it is "partial small subunit ribosomal RNA". The record is from RNAcentral. Lineage: Eukaryota; Viridiplantae; Streptophyta; Magnoliopsida; Poales; Poaceae.
AUGGCUGCUUCAAGCUCCUCCAAGGACAAGUUCUUCAAGAUCGUCAUCAACCCAUAUCUGCGGGAGGUGGUGCAGCACCCUCAGGUCAUUGAGAUGCAUGAGGGGGUGCUUCACCUUCGCGAUGUUCCCUGUCCCAAGGGGACGGGAACCAUGGAUGCUAGGCUCGAAGCUAUGGAGCAAGAUGUCUUCCGGUGCAAGGGGAUGGUGGAGCGUGGACUCCAUGCCAAUCACCUCAUGAUCACGGACCUCUCCCGUGAUCUCAAGGUGGAUGGCAAGCCCAUGAAGGACAUCAUCUUCACCCUCAACCAAGUCUUUGAAUAUGAGGCGAGGUUUAAAGGUGUGAGUUUGGCUGCUAGUUGCAGGACCCGUGAGACUCACUCCUCCUCUUAUGAUGGUGGACCACUACCAUGGAAAUCCGAGGACAAGAUCUCUUCUUCUUCACCACCUCCAUCUUCCUCACCACCAAAGAAGAACUGA